This 497-nucleotide ribosomal RNA is filed under the name uncultured bacterium. Its description in RNAcentral is "partial 16S ribosomal RNA". It matches the Rfam family "Bacterial small subunit ribosomal RNA", at positions 28 to 507 of the family's 1533-position model. The record is from RNAcentral.
GAUGAACGCUGGCGGCGUGCCUAAUACAUGCAAGUCGAGCGAACGGACGAGAAGCUUGCUUCUCUGAUGUUAGCGGCGGACGGGUGAGUAACACGUGGAUAACCUACCUAUAAGACUGGGAUAACUUCGGGAAACCGGAGCUAAUACCGGAUAAUAUUUUGAACCGCAUGGUUCAAAAGUGAAAGACGGUCUUGCUGUCACUUAUAGAUGGAUCCGCGCUGCAUUAGCUAGUUGGUAAGGUAACGGCUUACCAAGGCAACGAUGCAUAGCCGACCUGAGAGGGUGGUCGGCCAGACUGGAACUGAGACACGGUCCAGACUCCUACGGGAGGCAGCAGUAGGGAAUCUUCCGCGAUGGGCGAAAGCCUGCCGGAGCAACGCCGCGUGAGUGAUGAAGGUCUUCGGAUCGUAAAACUCUGUUAUUAGGGAAGAACAUAUGUGUAAGUAACUGUGCGCAUCUUGACGGUACCUAGUCAGAAAGCCACGGCUAGCUACGUG